Non-coding RNA from Phoenix dactylifera (date palm), 1334 nucleotides. NCBI's taxonomy places the organism in Eukaryota, Viridiplantae, Streptophyta, Magnoliopsida, Arecales, Arecaceae. The record is from RefSeq and is a predicted model, not a curated record.
UUUAUUAGCCACCACAAAAUAACUUGAUUUGCAUCAGCAGGAAGGAUAGACGAGAAGUUAAUGAAGCUUUUGAUCUUUUGCUAUUGACUCCUGGACAAUGCAGUUUGGAGUAAAGGUGUUGAUUAUUGGUUUGGAAGUUUGGCAUGUUUUGGCAAUGUGAAUAUGUAGUAACAUAAUCAUUGAAUGAUCAUAUAUUGGACCAAUCAGCAAGUUUUCUUAUUGGAUCUGCAUGUGUGAUUGCAUUUUUUUUAAUUGUUGCGUGGGAUUGUCAUGGCAGAUUAUGUGGCAUGUACUGUGGAAUAAGCUUCCUAAGUUCUGUUAUUCUUAUACAAUGCAAACAACCACAGAUGCCUCCACUUUUCGCAUGUGAUGCAAGGGGGUAUAAAAGUGGAUGAAUAAAAUGGAGAGCUGCUAUCAUUAGUUUAACAUCUGAUUGACAAAGCAGGGCUAUUCAUGCUUUUCAUCCUGCACGGCACAGAUCUAUGUGAGUUUUGACUAUUGUUUCCAGUGAAAUGGUCAUGAGCAAACAUGAUGAAUGAUUCAUUCAUGGGAAUCCAAACAAACUAAUGAUGCUUUAUGUUGUUUCUGGUAAUGUGCUAAGUUAUAUUUUUGUCCCCAUUCGUAUUCUUCCAUUUCCUGCACUUGUUUUUAAAUGAACUAAUAUUUUAAAAAGUUAUAUAUAUAUUUUUAAUUUUGUUAUUUUAUUCUUGAUUUUUGGUUAUCAGAACUCUUUCCCACCUCUUAUUUGUUGAAUUUUUUCCCCCUGAAUUUACAUUUCUUUUUUAAGAGAAGAAGAAGAAGAAACGCACUGACAACAUGGACGUUUCUGAAAUCUCAAAAAUCUUGCCUUUGGAGCCGCGCCAUUGGCUUGGACCGACUGUAUUCAGCUAGUUUCACGCUAGGCCAGUUUCGGUCUUCUCUUUUGAAAAUUACUGAUUCCAUCUUGGCUUUCUUCUUUGGUGUUGUCAGAGUUGAGUAGAUCAGUGGCAGCUGUAACCAGAGUGAGGUGAGGAUGGGGAGGAGAAUUUGAUAAUGGUGGUGAUGAAGGCCGACCAUCAACGACAGCAAAGGAGAAGGCCUUGAUGCAAUCUAUGACCUUCGCAUUGUGCAUGUGAUCCAUGCAAGGCUGUGAGGACCAUGAAAUCAAGGGCCAUCGAUAUGCAUAAGCUGUGAAUGAACUCUCUCUUAAACAGAACUUAUAGUUUGGUAUGAUUGGAAGAAUUGUUGCUUAAUUAAAUUGUUAGCAAUGAGUCAAGUGUUUGCACAAGCUUAUACCAUUUAGACUGAUCGUUCAGUUUAUUUGAAAUGAGAAAACUUCAUAACAAUUACUUUUU